RNAcentral lists this non-coding RNA (172 nucleotides) under Kiritimatiellia bacterium. RNAcentral's name for it is "6S RNA". It matches the Rfam family "6S / SsrS RNA". Rfam says of the family: E. coli 6S RNA was the first non coding RNA to be sequenced, but its function was unknown until recently. It consists of 184 nucleotides that fold into an extended hairpin structure with a large single-stranded internal bulge. The 6S RNA specifically associates with RNA polymerase holoenzyme containing the sigma70 specificity factor. Lineage: Bacteria; Pseudomonadati; Kiritimatiellota; Kiritimatiellia. The record is from RNAcentral.
AAUACCCUGCCUUGUUCGCUAACAGGCAAAAAUCUCUAACCUUCUAUUGUAUUAGGGAGCUUGAAUACGGCGUGGAGCGGAUUCGCAAGAAUCCCGGAAGCGACGACUAGAGCACCCACCUCGAAUGCGAGGUUUAAGAGAUUAACGCCCUUACGAUUAUGGUGGGGUAUUU